GCAGUGCUGGUUCAGUGGUAGAAUUCUCGCCUUUCACGUGGGAGACCCAGGUUGAUUCCCGGCCACUGCA
This 70-nucleotide transfer RNA is filed under the name Loxodonta africana (African savanna elephant). It matches the Rfam family "tRNA". Rfam says of the family: Transfer RNA (tRNA) molecules are approximately 80 nucleotides in length. Their secondary structure includes four short double-helical elements and three loops (D, anti-codon, and T loops). Lineage: Eukaryota; Metazoa; Chordata; Mammalia; Proboscidea; Elephantidae. The record is from Rfam by way of RNAcentral.